CUCGUGUCGUGAGAUGUUGGGUUAAGUCCCGCAACGAGCGCAACCCUCGUCCUUAGUUGCUAACAGUUCGGCUGAGCACUCUAGGGAGACUGCCUUCGCAAGGAGGAGGAAGGUGAGGACGACGUCAAGUCAUCGAUGGCCCUUACGGCCAGGGCUACACACGUGCUACAAUGGGGCGUACAGAGAGCUGCGAUACCGCGAGGUGGAGCCAAUCUCUUAAAGCGUCUCUCAGUUCGGAUUGUUCUCUGCAACUCGAGAACAUGAAGCUGGAAUCACUAGUAAUCGCAGAUCAGCUAUGCUGCGGUGAAUACGUUCCCGGGUCUU
Molecule: ribosomal RNA, 324 nt
Filed under: uncultured Sulfuricurvum sp.
Lineage: Bacteria; Pseudomonadati; Campylobacterota; Epsilonproteobacteria; Campylobacterales; Sulfurimonadaceae
Description: bacterial SSU rRNA
Rfam family: Bacterial small subunit ribosomal RNA
Source: RNAcentral